GACGAACGCUGGCGGCGUGCCUAAUACAUGCAAGUCGAGCGGACUUUCAAGAAGCUUGCUUUUUGAAUGUUAGCGGCGGACGGGUGAGUAACACGUGGGCAACCUGCCUGCAAGACGGGGAUAACUUCGGGAAACCGGGGCUAAUACCGGAUAAUAUCUUCCUUCGCAUGAAGCAAGGUUGAAAGGCGGCGCAAGCUGCCGCUUGCAGUUGGGCCCGCGUGCCUUUAGUUAUUUGGUGAGGUAACGGCUCACCAAGGCACCGAAGCGUAGCCGCCCCGGGGGGGGGACGGGCAAACUGGGACCGGAGCACGGCCCAGGAUCCUUCGGGAGGCAGCAGGAGGGAAUCUUCCGCAAUGGACGAAAGUCUGACGGAGCAACGCCGCGUGGGCGAAGAAGGUCUUCGGAUCGUAAAGCUCUGUUGACAGGGAAGAACAAGUACCGUUCGAACAGGGCGGUACCUUGACGGUACCUGACCAGAAAGCCACGGCUAACUACGUG
This 498-nucleotide ribosomal RNA is filed under the name uncultured bacterium. Its description in RNAcentral is "partial 16S ribosomal RNA". It matches the Rfam family "Bacterial small subunit ribosomal RNA", at positions 28 to 507 of the family's 1533-position model. The record is from RNAcentral.